GGGGUGUGAUGAUUUGAAAC
This 20-nucleotide microRNA is filed under the name Chlamydomonas reinhardtii. RNAcentral describes it as "cre-miR1167". The record is from miRBase by way of RNAcentral. Lineage: Eukaryota; Viridiplantae; Chlorophyta; Chlorophyceae; Chlamydomonadales; Chlamydomonadaceae.